RNAcentral lists this long non-coding RNA (2197 nucleotides) under Phasianus colchicus (ring-necked pheasant). RNAcentral describes it as "lncRNA (ENSPCLG00000011233.1)". The record is from RNAcentral. Lineage: Eukaryota; Metazoa; Chordata; Aves; Galliformes; Phasianidae.
UUUGAAAGUCACAUUCAGUGCCAUUAGUAUUAUACAGAGAACCUUUACAAAGAGCUGUUUGUCUGUGCAGGUAUUUCUGUGGCCAUAUAUUGCUCUGUGUACCAGGUGGCAUUUAUCUACAAAAGCAGUGUGCAUCUUUCUGCUCACUGGGUUCAUAUACAAGAGAUGAAUUUCCUGUAUGUUAAAAUAUAAAAAUAUCAGAAGGACAUAGUCAUUUUCACCAGUCUUAGCUUGCAAAUCUCUGAAUGAGGCCAAUUAGGUCUGGGUGGAGAAGGAGCUCAAGAAGAGAAGGCCAUUUGAAGGAAAUACCCCUUUGGUGAGUUCAGUAGAAAGACCAUCUGCUGAGCUUGUGCUGUCUUUCAUUCUGCAAAUCCAGUUAGAAAUUCAAGGGCAUGUUUCUGUAUUUACUAUACCAGAUGCAUUUUUCUUGUGGAUGCAGACCUAUAAGGUGACAAAUCUGUCUGGUGAUGGGGAAAACCAGUUUGCAUCAUCAAUAGUUGAAACAAGGUAAAAAGCAAAACAAACAGCAGGUACAAGAAAAGUAAAAAUCAGACGUCUGAAAGGAUUUUUUCAGGAUAACAGCUUUAAUCUCAGGAUUCCUGCAGACCUCUUUGGUACUAUGGAGCUUCCCUUCCAUGACCACAGGUCCAAGGAAUUGCAGAGGAACAAAGCAAGGAUCUGCUUUGCAAGGAGAAGAGCCUUGAGGGAGAGCACCGGGGUCCAUUCAGUCCCUAUUAAAAGCACUGGGAGUGAAGUCAAAUUGAGGAAGAACCUCCUUGGGUGGGCAGAACAAAGUCACAGAGCCCAUGGGAAGGCAGUGCCGCAUGAUGAGGAGCUGUGCCAGGGCUGGAGAAAGCCUGAGUCCUGCUGCAUCCCGAAGGAAGCAGAGAUGAUGGGCUUGUGUGGCUUCAAGCAUAAGGUGGUGCACAUCUUCACUUCCUACGCAGACCAGUUUUUCUCUGCACUUCUGCUUCCUAAUCUCAUCUGAAAGUCCAUAUUUCUGCAUUUCCUGAUUCAUUAUUCAUCCUGUGUUGGGAUGGACGGUGGAGCUGGUGCUACCUGCGUGCUGUCACUCUGGGCAGUGAGUGAGGGCUUGAGCAACAGGGCUGCUCUGCCAGUGCCUUUCCCUUGACACAUCCCAGACCACAAACAUGGCCUCUACAUCUGAGGGAGAGAAGCAGCAGGGGCAGGCGUGAGUCAUGGGCCUCAUGACAGGGGAAUUCCUCGCUGGUUGCUGGCAGCAACGUUGGGACUGAGCGGUUUUUGCUGCCUGACUGUUAUGGAAAGAGCUGCCCUCAGCUGAAUGCUUAAUUCCAGUUUCUCAUCUCCCUUCAAAAUAGAAGAUCCCGAUGUAUGGAUUUUUGACCAUAUGGUUCUCUUCACAUUCCCUCAGUAAACGAGGAGAGUUCCAGGUUCACAGCAAGCCCCAGUGUAACCUUUCAAGUCAUCUGCAUCAAGUUGGUGCUGCGCUCUGCUCAUCCCCUUGAUAAGGAAACACAAAAGAACAAACUAUCAACCAGCAAAACAGCCCAACUUCCCAUCUUUUAGUCACAGAUAACGCUUGGUGAGCCCAAACCCUGGUUUCACCUCCUGAAAGCACUCUGGGUCUGCCCACAAGUGCAGUUCCCUAUACGUGGAACAGCACAGCUCUGCACACUGCAGUCAUUGCAUGCAGGUGCUUCCUGUGGUUGCAGCUUCAUCUUGGUUCCUUGAAAAAGGUUUGGGUCUUUUCAGAAGUGUAUGAAGCGUGCAGGAGAUUAGGGCUCCCCUUGUUGCUCUGCUGUGCCUGAGUGGAAGGCAGUAAAAGUGUCUGGGGAAAAAAAGGAUAGUUCUGCUGAAGGCUGCUUUGGUGUCACUGCAUUGAAAAUAACCCACAGCACAAGUUUUACUCAGUUUGUUAUUAUGUGUUUUAUAUUCUAGUACAGUGGUAUUUUAGAAAUGGCCAGAGAUGUAGCUGUAGCUAUAACUAAGGUUGCUUGAAACUUUCCAGGCUUCUUUACUUCCUUGUAACUGUCAAACUGUAAAGACACACUGAAAUUUCUCAUGUUGGUAUCAGCUCUGGUUAAUUUAUUUACAACAACUUAAACCCAACAUCAGUAAAAUUUCAAGGGAAAUUUGAAAGUUGGAGGCAUGGAAGGAAUAGGUGUUCUCCCAGUUCAGAACAGAAUAAAGUUAUGAAAUAAAUGAAUUUCCUGCA